AUGGAAUUGGAUGGAAUGCAUUUCAUCGAGUUCCGCUCCAUUCCAUCCUCUUUUUAUCAAUCUAAACAAUGGAAUAUAGCAUUAUUUCAUUUCAUUCCGCUCCAUUCCGUCACAUUCUAUCAAUCCAAAUAUAACCUUAAGUUCAAAGGUGAUGGGUUAGGCCUAAUGCAUGGUAUAGUUGACAGUGUUUCGGAAGCUGACAUGGCCUGGAGACUUAAAAGUUCUCUUGUACAGAAGCUAAUAUAG
This is a non-coding RNA of Vicia faba (fava bean), 246 nucleotides long. The record is from the annotation of a GenBank genome assembly. Lineage: Eukaryota; Viridiplantae; Streptophyta; Magnoliopsida; Fabales; Fabaceae.